This 22-nucleotide small RNA is filed under the name Human gammaherpesvirus 8. RNAcentral's name for it is "miR-K11". The record is from RNAcentral. Lineage: Duplodnaviria; Heunggongvirae; Peploviricota; Herviviricetes; Herpesvirales; Orthoherpesviridae.
UUAAUGCUUAGCCUGUGUCCAA